Molecule: ribosomal RNA, 425 nt
Filed under: uncultured bacterium
Lineage: Bacteria
Description: partial 16S ribosomal RNA
Rfam family: Bacterial small subunit ribosomal RNA
Source: RNAcentral
GUGGGGGAUCUUAGACAAUGGGCGCAAGCCUGAUCUAGCCAUGCCGCGUGAGCGAUGAAGGCCUUAGGGUUGUAAAGCUCUUUCGUGGGGGAAGAUAAUGACUGUACCCCAAGAAGAAGCCCCGGCUAACUCCGUGCCAGCAGCCGCGGUAAUACGGAGGGGGCUAGCGUUGUUCGGAAUUACUGGGCGUAAAGCGCACGUAGGCGGACUGGAAAGUCAGGGGUGAAAUCCCGGGGCUCAACCCCGGAACUGCCUUUGAAACUCCCAGUCUUGAGUUCGAGAGAGGUGAGUGGAAUUCCGAGUGUAGAGGUGAAAUUCGUAGAUAUUCGGAGGAACACCAGUGGCGAAGGCGGCUCACUGGCUCGAUACUGACGCUGAGGUGCGAAAGCGUGGGGAGCAAACAGGAUUAGAAACCCUUGUAGUCC